GAUAGAGUGACAGAAGGGCGUUCGGUGGAUGCCUUGGCGCCAAGAGGCGAUGAAGGACGUGGCACGCUGCGAAAAGCCGCGGGGAGAUGCGAGCGAUCGUUGAUCCGCGGAUGUCCGAAUGGGGAAACCCCUCCCGUAUGGGAGAUCCUGCACUGAAUUCAUAGGUGCUGGAGGCAAACCCGGGGAACUGAAACAUCUCAGUACCCGGAGGAAAAGACAUCAACAGAGAUUCCGCGAGUAGUGGCGAGCGAAAGCGGAGCAGGCCAGUGAUUGUGCAAGAAGAAGCCGAACGGUCUCGAAAGGCCGGCCAGAGCGGGUGAUAGCCCCGUAGGCGUAGUGUCUUGCAGGAUCCUCGAGUAGGGCGGGGCACGUGAAACCCUGUCUGAACGUGGGGGGACCACCCUCCAAGCCUAAAUACUCCUUGGCGACCGAUAGUGCACAAGUACCGUGAGGGAAAGGUGAAAAGCACCCCGACGAGGGGAGUGAAAGAGACCUGAAACCGAGCGCCUACAAGCAGUCGGAGCACCCCAAUGUUCAAUCAUGGGAGGUGUGACGGCGUACCUUUUGUAUAAUGGGUCCGCGAGUUUCUGUUGGCAGCAAGCUUAAGCCGAGAGGUGUAGGCGCAGCGAAAGCGAGUCUGAUAAGGGCGCUUGAGUUGCCGGCAGAAGACCCGAAACCGAGUGAUCUAGCCAUGGCCAGGCUGAAGGUGGGGUAACACCCACUGGAGGGCCGAACCCACGCCUGUUGAAAAAGUCGGGGAUGAGCUGUGGCUAGGGGUGAAAGGCCAAUCAAACUCGGAAAUAGCUGGUUCUCCGCGAAAUCUAUUGAGGUAGAUCGUCGUCCGAUUACCUUCGGAGGUAGAGCACCGGAAGGGCUAGGGGGGCCCAAAGCCCUACCAAACCCUACCGAACUCCGAAUGCCGAAGAGUACAGGACGGCAGACAGACAGUGGGUGCUAAGGUCCAUUGUCGAGAGGGAAACAGCCCAGACCACCAGCUAAGGCCCCCAAAUCGUGGCUAAGUGGGAAAGCAUGUGAGACGGCCAAAACAACCAGGAGGUUGGCUUAGAAGCAGCCAUCCUUUAAAGAAAGCGUAAUAGCUCACUGGUCUAAUAGCUGUCUUGCGGCGAAAAUGUAACGGGGCUCAAGCCACGUGCCGAAGCUGUGGAUGCAUGCGCAAGCAUGCGUGGUAGCGGAGCGUUCCGUAGGCCUGCGAAGGCAGACCCGUGAGGGCUGCUGGAGGUAUCGGAAGUGCGAAUGCGGACAUGAGUAGCGAUAAACAGGGUGAGAACCCCUGUCGCCGAAAGUCCAAGGGUUCCUGCGCAAGGUCAAUCCGCGCAGGGUGAGCCGGCCCCUAAGGCGAGGGCGAAAGCCGUAGUCGAUGGGAACCAGGUGAAUAUUCCUGGGCCUGACAGACGUGACGGCUGCAAAGCGUUGUUGCCCCUUAUCGGAUUGGGGCGGCAGCCAGAGCAGCCCAGGAAACAGCGCUGUCGAUAAAGACCGUACCCGAAACCGACACAGGUGGACUGGUUGAGAAUACCGAGGCGCUUGAGAGAACUAUGCUGAAGGAACUAGGCAAAUUACUCGCGUAACUUCGGGAUAAGCGAGACCCCUUCUUGCGCAAGCAAGGUGGGGUGGCACAGACCAGGGGGUAGCGACUGUUUAGUAAAAACACAGGGCUCUGCGAAAUCGAGAGAUGACGUAUAGGGUCUGACACCUGCCCGGUGCCGGAAGGUCAAGGGGAGAUGUGCAAGCAUCGAACCGAAGCCCCGGUAAACGGCGGCCGUAACUAUAACGGUCCUAAGGUAGCGAAAUUCCUUGUCGGGUAAGUUCCGACCUGCACGAAUGGUGUAACGACUUCCCCACUGUCUCCAGCAUAGACUCAGCGAAAUUGAAUUCCCCGUGAAGAUGCGGGGUACCCGUGGUCAGACGGAAAGACCCUAUGAACCUUUACUGCAGCUUCGCAGUGGUGCCAGGAAGGAACUGUGUAGGAUAGGUGGGAGCCAUCGAAACCCGGGCGCUAGCUCAGGUGGAGGCAACCUUGAAAUACCACCCUGUUUCUUUCUGGCAUCUCACUGAGCCCGGUCAGCCCGGGCCAGGACCCUGCGUGGUGGGCAGUUUGACUGGGGCGGUCGCCUCCCAAAGUGUAACGGAGGCGCGCGAUGGUGGGCUCAGGCCGGUCGGACAUCGGCUGUUGAGUGCAAAGGCAUAAGCCCGCCUGACUGCGAGCGCGACAGCGCGAGCAGAGACGAAAGUCGGCCUUAGUGAUCCGGUGGUCCCGCGUGGAAGGGCCAUCGCUCAACGGAUAAAAGGUACUCUAGGGAUAACAGGCUGAUCUCCCCCAAGAGUCCACAUCGACGGGGAGGUUUGGCACCUCGAUGUCGGCUCAUCGCAUCCCGGGGCUGGAGCAGGUCCCAAGGGUUCGGCUGUUCGCCGAUUAAAGCGGUACGUGAGCUGGGUUUAGAACGUCGUGAGACAGUUCGGUCCCUAUCUGCCAUGGGUGUUGGAGACUUGCGAGGAUCUGUCCCUAGUACGAGAGGACCGGGAUGGACGUACCUCUGGUGCACCGGUUGUUCCGCCAGGAGCAUCGCCGGGUAGCUAAGUACGGAACGGAUAACCGCUGAAGGCAUCUAAGCGGGAAACCAGCCUCAAAACCAGGUCUCCCCAAGGGCCGUGGAAGACCACCACGUCGAUAGGCCGCAGGUGGAAGUGCAGCAAUGCAUGCAGCCGAGCGGUCCUAAUCGCCCGAUCGAACUCCAUCAC
This is a ribosomal RNA of Roseomonas mucosa, 2760 nucleotides long. It matches the Rfam family "Bacterial large subunit ribosomal RNA". Lineage: Bacteria; Pseudomonadati; Pseudomonadota; Alphaproteobacteria; Acetobacterales; Roseomonadaceae. The record is from Rfam.